This is an RNA transcript of Vigna angularis (adzuki bean), 2564 nucleotides long. RefSeq lists it as uncharacterized. Lineage: Eukaryota; Viridiplantae; Streptophyta; Magnoliopsida; Fabales; Fabaceae. The record is from RefSeq and is a predicted model, not a curated record. The transcript has 12 exons.
UUUCGGGGGUGAUUUCGCCCACACUAUUAUAUCUCCAAUUAUACACUCUCAUUGACCAUACAAAACCAUGCCAAUGCAAAUUUAGUUCAGACGUUAAAAACAUUUAUUUAAUUAUAUAUUUGUUAAUUAAAUGCAGGAUGUGUUGGAAUGUAGGAGAAGGAUUAGGUUUGAUAAAGAAAUUGUGUCGAAAAGCGGGAGAGAAAAGGAAAAAGCCAAGAAGGAAAGAAGGAAAGAAAGAAAGAAAGAAACAACGCAGGGAUAGAUAGAUAGAGAGAGAGAGCGAAGCCACGGUUCUCUGAUCCAUUCCUUUGCGUAAAAGAUGAAGAGGUCUCUGAGAAAGUUGGGAGUUCUGACGUUAGAGAAGCAUCACCACCACCGUGACCGCUCUAACAUUCUGCCUUUGUCCCAGUUAGAGGACCUCGCUCAGGCUACCCAGGACAUGGAAGACAUGAGAGACUGCUACGAUAGCUUGCUUUCCGCGGCUGCCGCGGCUGCCAAUAGUGCUUAUGAAUUCUCAGAAUCCUUGGGAGAAUUGGGCUCUUGCCUUCUUCAGAACACCGCCUUGCAUGACGAUGAAGAAAGCGGCAAAGUUCUCAUAAUGCUCGGUAAAAUGCAGUUUCAACUCCAGAAGCUCAUUGAUAAAUAUCGCUCUCAUAUUACCCAGACAAUUACCGUUCCCUCGGAUUCUCUUCUGAAUGAACUUCGAAUUGUUGAGGAGAUGAAGCGACAUUGUGACGAAAAAAGAGUUGCAUACGAGUCCAUGUUAACAAGAUAUAGAGAAAGAGGUAGGUCUAGAAGCGGAAGAGCAGAGACUAUUUCCUUGCAGCAGUUACAAAUUGCUCGUGAUGAAUAUGAUGAGGAGGCCACCUUAUUUGUUUUCCGCUUGAAAUCUCUGAAGCAAGGUCAAUCGUGGAGCCUUCUAACACAGGCAGCACGUCACCAUGCAGCUCAGUUGUGUUUCUUCAAGACAGCAGUUAAAUCUCUUGAGACAGCAGAGCCGCACGUAAAAUUAGUAACAGAACAACAUCACAUUGAUUACCACUUCAUUGGUAUUGAAGGGGAGGAUGAGGAUGAUGACGAAGAUGAAGAUGAAAAUGAAGAUGGUGACAGCCAUGAUGAGAAUGAUGAUGGGGAGCUGAGUUUUGACUAUACACAAAAUGAACACGAGCAAGAUGUUUCUACAUUAGACAACUCAAAGAAGUCAUGCAUGCUUCUUCAACCCAUAAAAGCAAAGGGAAGGAAAAACAAAAACCUCACUGGAUUUAGGACUGGAAAUACUACACAGGAAAACUUGGAUAAGCUUCGCAGGAAUUCAUUCUCCUUUAGGGUUAGGUCAGCGAGCCAAUCUGCCCCACUUUUAGCUGAUAAUAAAUGUGAUUCUAGAGAAAGGCUGAGUAAGAUGCGGCCCACUUUAUCACGGAAGUUCAAUUCAUAUGUGCUGCCUACACCAGUUGAUGCAAAGAGUUCCGUAUCUCCGACGUCAAGUAAGCAAGUACCUUCCAAAAUAAAGGCAAAUUUAGAUGAGCCUAUGAAGAAUUUGUAUCAUUCAUCCCCACUGGAACAGAAAAAAUAUGGAAAAACUUUUGGAGAUGGGGCAUUUUCUGGUCCGAAUGUUAGGACUGUGCAGUCUGUAGUCAAGGAGAGUAAUACCAAUACUGCUACCACUAGAUUGCCACCUCCUUCAAUUGAUGGUAAUUUAUCCUCAAAUCAUGACUUUGUUACUGCUUACUCUAAAAAGAUUAAAAGACAAGCCUUUUCUGGUCCAUUGGUAAGUAAUGCUUGGCCAACCAAGCCUGUUUCUAUAGAGAGUGUCCAGUUGUUUUCUGGACCUCUUUUACGGACAUCAAUUCCUCAGUUUCCAUCAUCAUCAUCUCCAAAAGUAUCUCCUAGUGCUUCUCCCCCUCUUUCAUCUUCACCAAAAAUAAAUGAGCUUCAUGAACUUCCUAGGCCUCCAACCAUUUCCGCAUCCAAUUCUAAGCUUUUAGGUUUGGUGGGUCAUUCAGGUCCAUUGGUGUCCCGAGGUCCCCAGCUUUCUGCUCGAAAUAAUUUGGUUACAUCAAAUGCAGCAUCUCCAUUGCCAAUGCCUCCUUCAGCAAUGGCUCGAAGUUUCUCCAUACCUUCUAGCAGUGCUAAAGUUACAGCAUUAGAUGGGUCAAGACCUCCAGAAGACCCUAACAGAUCAUCAAUAUCCGAGUAUGUUGAUUCUCCUCCUCCGUUGUACAUUGCUUCAUCUACUAGUUAGCCAUCAUGAGACGGCUGUCAGACUGUUGCUCGGGUUGCCUUGUCUGGAGGGAUGUACAUGCUUAUAUUAAUAAUAUUCAAUGACCCAGGUAUGGCACUUAAGCAGAUUAACUGUUUUUAAGAAGGUAUGCUCUAUUCAAUAUCGUGAGGGUCAAGUUUUGUUUCUCAUAGUUUGGUACGGUUGCAAAUCUGUAAAUAUUCCUUUAUAAUUCUUUUUCUGUCGUUAUUAUUGUUAAUUCACCCAGCAAUGGGGGCGAUUAUUCAAUUUUUAAUUUUUAGUGAAAUAAAUGACUAUGUAUUGAGCUGUGGAAUUUUUCUUUUAA